Equus caballus (horse) is the source of this 2182-nucleotide long non-coding RNA. NCBI's taxonomy places the organism in Eukaryota, Metazoa, Chordata, Mammalia, Perissodactyla, Equidae. The record is from Ensembl.
UGUAUAUCCCAUCUCACUCGCUUUCCUUAAAAUGGGACAUAUUCCCUCCUCCAUCAAAGGGUAAUCUAUGUUGCCUCCCAUUGAAACUAGGUAAACCUUUGUAAGUGCCUUGACUAGUAGUAUGAAGUGGAAGUGAUGCUUUAUGACUUUGGAGACUAGAUCAUAAACGGUGAUACGUCUUCUACCUCUCUCUGCCUCUCUGUCUAUGUCUCUGUCUCUCUCUCCUUUUCUCUCCUUGCUGCAAUGAGAAGACACAGCAAGAAGACUUCUGUCUGCAAGCAAGGAAGAAGGCUCUCACCAGGAACCGAAUUGGUUAACACCUAAUUAUCUUGGACUUCCCAGCCUUUAGAACUAAAGACAACUGAAUAAAUUUGGUAGCAGAAUAGGAAGGAACAAAUACAUGAGCGUACUCGGAAUGAGAGAAGACAGCAGCAGUAAUGAAAUUUUUAGCAGCACAUGCCCACACCGUGGCCCCUUCCUGAUUCCUGUAAUGUACAUGUGGAAUCGACUGUGUAGAAGAGAAACUUCAGAGAUGCAUUGGUGUCAAUCAGGCACAUCCCUGGACCAGACUAUAUAUCCAAUUAAAGAUGUAUUGAGGACUAUCUCUCACACAUAUUGCCUGGCUAUGGGCCCUACCUUUGAGGAUGUGAUGUCUUUGGUGCCACAGACAUGCAUAAUCAGUGGACACAGAGAAAGCAUGAGUGAUUCAAAUGGACAUGGAAACAAGAACUGGAAAUUGGACGUCUGGUAUUCUCAUGGAUGGCUUGCAGGACUUCCUUAUGGGAUUUGGGUACGAAGUCUAGCAUUGAAGGGACAGUGAUAUGUAAAAUAUCCAGGACAAAGGAAACGGAAGAUACAGGUGAAAGUGAGUGAGGAAGCAGAGAAGGCAGAUCUUAGAAGCAGGGCCGACCACUACCACCAGCCCAACUGGAUAUACUGUCGAGAUUUAAGUGAGUACACAGUUGGAGUUUACCAAGGAGAGCAGAGGGUCUGGGAAAGACUAAAAUGCCAGUCACCAAAUCCAGUUGUCUCAGUUACAAUAAAUCCCCAAGAAGGUCUAAUGCAUGGAUAAAAACAUAUGAAAAUGAAGCAAAUAAUUACUUGUGGUGGAAUGAAUUUGAAUGGAUCCAUCUUGAUGGAAGAUUCUGAUCCUGCAUGCUGGAUGAACCAUGCUCCCACUCGCUGCCUAUCACCUCCCUACUGGCACGGUUAUGUCCAGAUAUGGCAGCUACAUAAUUAUGACUACUACAGUUUUUCUCCAUACUUCAGAAUGCAUUGAAGCCUCUUUCAUAUUAGGAAAUGUCAUCACAAAUCUUGUACAAAACUGAUUACAUUACGUGAAUGAAAAUAACUAUGAUAAGGUGAAUUAAACAAUUUAAAUAUUAGAAAUGAUCAUGUAGUCCCGAAGCAGUGUGAAGAGAAUGUCGGAAGAUUACUGAGAAGUGCAAGGUUGGGAGGAGACACACUAAUCUUCCUACAAGUAAGACUUCUAGUCAUGAAAACCCUGUUGGAACAUCUGAAACGCUUUAUGUACAAGGACCUGUCUUAGAGGAAGAAGCUGAUGAGGAACUUCUCAGUUUUUCUGGGCUCACCAGGUCUCCUCAGGUUCAAUGACCUUACCGACCAGUCAAGGGUCCUUAGAUCUCAUCCAAGUCAUCUGGCUGGUAUUUCCUUAGGGAAAAGAGGGGCUGAAGAUGCUGUACAAAGCUUAAUUUCUGCACCUCGUCCUUAAAUGCAGCACUGACUCCCCUGAGCUGGAGGUGGGCAAAAGACCCAAGUCAAACCUGUUACAUCACACACCCACCUAGUAGCCAGAGUGAAGGAUCCAAGAAGGCAUAAGACACAGUAGAGCCCAUCAGAGACCAUCCUGGGAAGCUGUUUUUUAACUAGAGACAAUACAAAUGUUAUUUUUUAGUAGACCUUUACUAAAAGAUGCUUUUAGUCAAAAAUAACAUCACAGGGCAAGUCUGUUUGAGAGAAUGAUGCUGCCACACAGCCAGAAAAGAAGGAAGGCAUCUCUGCUUUCAGUUUCAGAAUUUUCCAGAACUGUAACCAAAGCAUAGCUAUUUAGUUGUUUCUUCGAUUUUGGUGAGCUGUGCAGGAAUCAUUUCAAUAAAUUCCCCUUUUUGUUUAAUCUUGUUUGAAAAGUUUUCUUUUUCAUUUGUGUCCCAAAGUAUCCUGG